Transfer RNA from Ipomoea nil (Japanese morning glory), 72 nucleotides. It matches the Rfam family "tRNA". From Rfam's summary of the family: Transfer RNA (tRNA) molecules are approximately 80 nucleotides in length. Their secondary structure includes four short double-helical elements and three loops (D, anti-codon, and T loops). Further hydrogen bonds mediate the characteristic L-shaped molecular structure. tRNAs have two regions of fundamental functional importance: the anti-codon, which is responsible for specific mRNA codon recognition, and the 3' end, to which the tRNAs corresponding amino acid is attached (by aminoacyl-tRNA synthetases). tRNAs cope with the degeneracy of the genetic code in two manners: having more than one tRNA (with a specific anti-codon) for a particular amino acid; and 'wobble' base-pairing, i.e. permitting non-standard base-pairing at the 3rd anti-codon position. The record is from Rfam. NCBI's taxonomy places the organism in Eukaryota, Viridiplantae, Streptophyta, Magnoliopsida, Solanales, Convolvulaceae.
GCGUUUGUAGUCCAACGUUAGGAUAAUUACCUUCCAAGCAAUAGACCUUGGGUUCAACUUCCGGCAAACGCA